UACGAAGGGGGGCUAGCGUUGCUCGGAAUUACUGGGCGUAAAGCGCACGUAGGCGGCUUGCCAAGUCGGACGUGAAAUCCCUCAGCUCAACUGAGGACGUGCAUCCGAAACUGGCGAGCUUGAGUACUGAAGAGGAUCGCGGAAUUCCCGGUGUAGAGGUGAAAUUCGUAGAUAUCGGGAGGAACACCAGUGGCGAAGGCGGCGAUCUGGGCAGAUACUGACGCUGAGGUGCGAAAGCGUGGGGAGCAAACAGG
This 254-nucleotide ribosomal RNA is filed under the name uncultured bacterium. RNAcentral's name for it is "partial 16S ribosomal RNA". It matches the Rfam family "Bacterial small subunit ribosomal RNA", at positions 524 to 776 of the family's 1533-position model. The record is from RNAcentral.